RNAcentral lists this ribosomal RNA (510 nucleotides) under uncultured bacterium. RNAcentral describes it as "partial 16S ribosomal RNA". It matches the Rfam family "Bacterial small subunit ribosomal RNA", at positions 28 to 507 of the family's 1533-position model. The record is from RNAcentral.
GACGAACGCUGGCGGCGUGCUUAACACAUGCAAGUCGAACGAAGAGCGAUGGAAGCUUGCUUCUAUCAAUCUUAGUGGCGAACGGGUGAGUAACGCGUAAUCAACCUGCCCUUCAGAGGGGGACAACAGUUGGAAACGACUGCUAAUACCGCAUACGAUCCAAUCUCGGCAUCGGGACUGGAUGAAAGGUGGCCUCUAUUUAUAAGCUAUCACUGAAGGAGGGGAUUGCGUCUGAUUAGCUAGUUGGAGGGGUAACGGCCCACCAAGGCGAUGAUCAGUAGCCGGUCUGAGAGGAUGAGCGGCCACAUUGGGACUGAGACACGGCCCAGACUCCUACGGGAGGCAGCAGUGGGGAAUCUUCCGCAAUGGACGAAAGUCUGACGGAGCAACGCCGCGUGAGUGAUGACGGCCUUCGGGUUGUAAAGCUCUGUUAAUCGGGACGAAUGGUUCUUGUGCGAAUAGUGCGAGGAUUUGACGGUACCGGAAUAGAAAGCCACGGCUAACUACGUG